This 481-nucleotide ribosomal RNA is filed under the name uncultured bacterium. Its description in RNAcentral is "bacterial SSU rRNA". It matches the Rfam family "Bacterial small subunit ribosomal RNA", at positions 32 to 521 of the family's 1533-position model. The record is from RNAcentral.
AAUCAACGCUGGCGGCGUGCCUCAGACAUGCAAGUCGAACGAUUAAAGCUCUCUUCGGAGAGUGUAUAGAGUGGCGCACGGGUGAGUAACACGUAAGUAAUCUACCCUCGAGUGGGGAAUAACAACCGGAAACGGUUGCUAAUACCGCAUAAUGCAGCGGCACCGCAAGGUGACAGUUGUUAAAAAUUUAUCGCUUGAGGAGGAGCUUGCGGCAGAUUAGCUAGUUGGUAGGGUAACGGCUUACCAAGGCUACGAUCUGUAACCGGUUUAAGAGGACGGUCGGUCACACUGACACUGAAUAACGGGUCAGACUCCUACGGGAGGCAGCAGUCGGGAAUUUUGGGCAAUGGGCGAAAGCCUGACCCAGCAACGCCGCGUGAAGGAUGAAGUAUUUCGGUAUGUAAACUUCGAAAGAAUAGGAAGAAUUAAUGACGGUACUAUUUAUAAAGGUCCGGCUAAACUACGUGCCAGCAGCCGCGGU